GCUCAGACGUAUCAAGAUGUUCUCCCAGGCUCAGCUUCUCUGGUUACUGGCGCUGUGGAUUCCGAGUGCCUAUGGGCAGGUCACAAUGACUCAGUCUCCAGAAUCCCUCUCAGUGUCUCCAGGAGAAAAAGCCACCAUCAGAUGUACAGCCAGUUCUAGCCUUAGGAGCUACUAUGUAUCCUGGUACCAACAGAAACCUGGACAAGCUCCUAAGCGGCUUAUCUAUGAUGACACUGACCGUGCCUCCGGGGUCCCAGCCCGGUUCAGUGGCAGUCGGUCUGGCACCGUUUACACUCUCGCAAUCACCAGCGUUGAAGCCGAUGAUGCAGCAGAUUACUACUGUCUGCAGACUGAUAGGUCACCUCUCACAGUGAUACAGACCAAUACAAAAACCUCCCUGCUCUGCCGCAGUGUGAGUGCUGCUUCCUGUGAAGAUCAUGACAGUGUUAGUGCAGCUGCUACACCCUGA
Mauremys mutica (yellowpond turtle) is the source of this 469-nucleotide non-coding RNA. The record is from the annotation of a RefSeq genome assembly. NCBI's taxonomy places the organism in Eukaryota, Metazoa, Chordata, Testudines, Geoemydidae.